UUGAAUUUUUCCCCCACUGGGUGUUAGAUUCUUAGUUUUCCUCUAGAUGGCGGAGUAGUAUUCUAAAUGUAAAAGAUGUCCUUUGUGAUAAACAUUUUAAACAUUUAUGUUGUAUUUGCCAGCCUGGUUGAAAAAUAUUUUUCCCCUUUUCUGCAGUUAAAACAGAGUACAUUCAUGUGGUAUAUUUUGAAAUUGGCAUAUACAAUGAAAUAAGGAACAAGACUGCUUUCUCUCUAAUCACUUGCCUUAUUAGUUGGUCAUUGACUGUGAAAAAAGAAAGCCUUCCAGUUUUAUGAGAUAGAACUUAAAUGGUCCUUUGGAGAUUGUGAACUUCACAUCCUUAGAGGAAAUGUCAGGAAAAUUGAAGUCCUCAUGGUUUGGCUGAAUAUUCUUCCUGGAACUUUUUGAAACAAGAACUCAGUGUGCAACAGUUAAAUUGGAUAACUUUUUCACAGCGCGUAUCCCAAAACCCUGGGACCCUAGGUUACAUGCCAUUUCCACAUCUCCUCUUUUCCCACUACUUUGUUAUUUACUGAUUGGGUAGAGAAAAUGAGACUGUUUAUUAAAAUUCACACAUACAUAGAGACUUUAUUUAAACAUAGGUGUGUGUAAUUUUCAAUCAAAAUGGUGUCUAGUGUUUUGCUUUGUUCCCAGUACAAUAAAUUAUGUAUAUUUAAUAAUUUUAAAAAAUAAAACCAAUGAUGGAUACUCUUAAGGUUUAGGUUAAGAUUCCAAAUGCUACUAAUCAAGGUUUGAAACAGACAGUUCCUUUAAAGGGAUAAACAGGCAACUCAUGUAAAACAUACGCUAACUGGAGUAACAUAGGCUCUGACAAUUAACUAAAUAAAGAAAAUGGCAUCAUGGAGGGUAGAUGUUCAGAAUCCAGAAGCAAAUUUGGAGAAAUAUUAUUGUGAUAUAUAAGAAUGCAGAAAAAAAAUUCAGGAAAUGCAAAAAUGAUCUGUAAAAUGGUAAAUGUUUUAAAGAAAUUAUACCAUAUGCAUGGAACAUUUUAAUGACUUGUAGAUAUCUCCUCAUAUGCAAGGUAUCAUUCUGGUUGCUAUUUGCUAAGUGGCAAGAGAUAGCACCCUCUCAGUGGAAGAGUAGGGAAAGGGGAGUCACUGUAUUCUCACUUCUCAUGUACACCAGCUAACUAAUUUUGGAGCAACUGACAAAAUAUUAUCAAGCUGCAAUGUUAAAGAAAAAAGAGAUCCCAUUUGUCAAUUUUGUCUUUUGUUGCCAUUGCUUUUGGUGUUUUAGACAUGAAGUCCUUGCCCAUGCCUAUGUCCUGAAUGGUAUUGCCUAGGUUUUCUUCUAGGGUUUUUAUGGUUUUAGGUCUGACGUUUAAGUCUUUAAUCCAUCUUGAAUUGAUUUUUGUAUAAGGUGUAAAGAGCUUCUGUACAGCAAAAGAAACUACCAUCAGAAUGAACAGGCAACCUACAAAAUGGGAGAAAAUUUUUGCAACCUACUCAUCUGACAAAGGGCU
RNAcentral lists this long non-coding RNA (1483 nucleotides) under Homo sapiens (human). Its description in RNAcentral is "HSALNT0204398". Lineage: Eukaryota; Metazoa; Chordata; Mammalia; Primates; Hominidae. The record is from RNAcentral.